CUAACUAUAGUCUUAUUAGGUGAAAGACUGGAUUCUAUUUAUCUUUUUAUGUAGAGCCAACUCAAAAGCUUGCAAGACUCAAGCACCUUUUCUGUUCUCUCUCGGGCUUUGAAAAACUGUUCCCAUUAUCAAUUCAGUAUACCCUUAAGGCAAAUUUGUCCAACCCGUGACCGUUUGGCCCAGGAUGGCUUUGAAUGCAGCCCAACACAAACUCGUAAUUUUUCUUAAAGCAUUACGAGAGUUUUUUGCGACAUUUUUAAGCUCAUCAGCUAUCAUUAGUGUUAGUGUAUUUUACGUGCGGCCCAAGACAAUUCUUCUUCUUCCAGUGUGGCCAAAGGAAGCCAAAAGAUUGGAUACCCCUGCUUUAAGGUGGAGUCUUGCUCUGUCACCCAGGCUGGAGUGCAAGGGCGCGAUCUCAGCUCACUGCAAGCUCCGCCUCCCAGGUUCACGCCAUUCUCCUGCCUCAGCCACCCGAGUAGCUGGGACUACAGGGGCCCACCACCACGCCUGGCUAAUUUUUUUGUAUUUUUAGUAGAGACAGGGUUUCACCGUGUUAGCCAGGAUGGUCUCGAUAUCCUGACCUUGUGAUCCACCUUCCUCGGCCUCCCAAAGUGCUGGGAUUACAGGCGUGAGCCACUGAGCCCGGACAAUUUUCUCUUUUCUAAAGUUAAAUAAACAAGUUAGUUUAUUUUA
Molecule: long non-coding RNA, 693 nt
Filed under: Homo sapiens (human)
Lineage: Eukaryota; Metazoa; Chordata; Mammalia; Primates; Hominidae
Description: HSALNT0304788
Source: RNAcentral